This 254-nucleotide ribosomal RNA is filed under the name uncultured bacterium. Its description in RNAcentral is "partial 16S ribosomal RNA". It matches the Rfam family "Bacterial small subunit ribosomal RNA", at positions 524 to 776 of the family's 1533-position model. The record is from RNAcentral.
UACGGAAUGUGCAAACGUUAUUCGGAAUCACUGGGCGUAAAGCGCACGUAGGCGGAUAUUUAAGUCGGUGGUGAAAUCCUGGAGCUCAACUCCAGAACUGCCUCCGAUACUGAAUGUCUUCGAGUCCGGGAGAGGUGAGUGGAACUGCGAGUGUAGAGGUGAAAUUCGUAGAUAUUCGCAAGAACACCAGUGGCGAAGGCGGCUCACUGGCCCGGUACUGACGCUGAGGUGCGAAAGCGUGGGGAGCAAACAGG